UACAGAGGGUGCGAGCGUUGUUCGGAAUUAUUGGGCGUAAAGGGCGCGUAGGCGGCGCCACAAGUCACUUGUGAAAUCCCUGGGCUCAACUCAGGGGGGUCGGCCGAUACUGCCAUUCUUGAGGGAUGCAGAGGAGACUGGAAUUCCCGGUGUAGCGAUGAAAUGUGUAGAGAUCGGGAGGAACACCGGUGGCGAAGGCGGGUCUCUGGGCAUUCCCUGACGCUGAGGCGCGAAAGCGUGGGGAGCAAACAGG
Molecule: ribosomal RNA, 253 nt
Filed under: uncultured bacterium
Lineage: Bacteria
Description: partial 16S ribosomal RNA
Rfam family: Bacterial small subunit ribosomal RNA
Source: RNAcentral